RNAcentral lists this ribosomal RNA (397 nucleotides) under uncultured bacterium. RNAcentral's name for it is "partial 16S ribosomal RNA". It matches the Rfam family "Bacterial small subunit ribosomal RNA", at positions 523 to 918 of the family's 1533-position model. The record is from RNAcentral.
AUACGUAGGGGGCGAGCGUUGUCCGGAAUGAUUGGGCGUAAAGGGCGCGUAGGCGGCUUUGCAAGUCAGUAGUGGAAGUCCAUUUUUCAAGGAGGGAAGUGCUACAGAAACUGCGGAGCUUGAUUGCAGGUGAGGUUAUCGGAAUUCCCGGUGUAGCGGUGAAAUGCGUAGAGAUCGGGAGGAACACCAGUGGCGAAGGCGGGUAACUGGACUGCAACUGACGCUGAGGCGCGAAAGUGUGGGGAGCAAACAGGAUUAGAUACCCUGGUAGUCCACACUGUAAACGAUGAAUGCUAGGUGUAGGAGGUAUCGACCCCUUCUGUGCCGCAGUAAACACAGUAAGCAUUCCGCCUGGGGAGUACGGUCGCAAGAUUAAAACUCAAAUGAAUUGACGGGG